RNAcentral lists this ribosomal RNA (217 nucleotides) under Campeiostachys nutans. Its description in RNAcentral is "Elymus nutans partial small subunit ribosomal RNA". The stretch from base 47 to 217 matches the Rfam family "Eukaryotic small subunit ribosomal RNA", at positions 692 to 864 of the family's 1831-position model. The record is from RNAcentral. Lineage: Eukaryota; Viridiplantae; Streptophyta; Magnoliopsida; Poales; Poaceae.
GGAUUUAUCCGUCGGUCGGGCUUUUGGGUCUGUACUGGCGUGAUGGAUUUCUACCUUCUGAAUAACCGGCAUGUCAUUAAUUUGGUGCGCCGGGGAAGCAGGACUGUUACCUUGAAAAAAUUAGAGUGUUUAAAGCAAGCUAACGCUUGAAUACAUUAGCAUGGAAUAAUGAAAUAGGACGUUCGAUCCUAUUUUGUUGGUUUCUAGGAUUGACGUA